GCAUGCAUGGACUAGCUCACAAUUCGGGGUUUCAUAUUCAACAUACUUAAUAGCCCUUAUACUUCACCUACGCUCUUUAUCAAACCUAUGGGGGACAUGCUUCACUUAUUCAACCAUUUCUAUACCCAAGAGUCAUGAAAAAAUCACAUAGAAAACAACUUUAAGAGGGUGUAUCACAAACAUCACAUGAAUUCCACAUACUAGGG
This 206-nucleotide long non-coding RNA is filed under the name Capsicum annuum. Its description in RNAcentral is "long non-coding RNA (CANN_LNC001122)". Lineage: Eukaryota; Viridiplantae; Streptophyta; Magnoliopsida; Solanales; Solanaceae. The record is from RNAcentral.